AUGAGUUUCUCUGCCCUUAGCCAGGCUGAUCAUCAGGGAACGUGGUCUGUUGCUGGUAUCCCAUUGUGAAAAUCCAGAAUCAACCAUCAGAAGGCAUCCAAAGUUCCUGAGAGGACUUCUUUCAUAAAUUGUAGGCAGCAGACAAGUUUGGUUUUGACAUAUGAUUUCAUUCAUUCAACAGCCAUUUAUUAUUCCUCUAGGGUGCCAGAUUAGAUGCUAGGUGCUAUAGAUACAGAGACAAAAAUGAAAUAGUCCCUGCCUAAGUGUAAGGGGGGUGGAGAGCAUGGGGAAGGACAGCAAUAUACACCCACUCAUAAAUGAAUUCAAAACAAGGGGAUAGGAAGAUAUAGGUAUCUAAAAGUAAAUGCAAGAUAAUUUGAGGAUGGAGAGUACACUAACUGCUGGAAAAAUCAGGGAAGACUUCUCAGAGAAGGUGACAACUAAACUAAAUCUCAAAAAAAGAGGAUAAUGAGAUAAUAAUAGUAAUAGCAAUUAUUAUUAUGGUUUUAAUAGCAUUUAUAUGGAGCUUUAAGAUUUAUAAAGCAUUUUUACAUAUUAUCUCACUUGAACUUCACAACAAAUAAGAGAUGUGCUAUUAUUAUCUGAAUUUUGCAGAUGAGGAAACUGAGGCAUGGAGGGCAAAGUGACUUGUCCAGGAUCACACAGCUGGAUUUACAGGGAGCUGGAGCACCUGCUGUUGGACUGAGUUGGGGCUGCCAGAAUCAAUUGGCCAGGCCCUGUGGAAGCAGGCUGCUUGGUACCUGGACCACUGAUGGCUUCUUUGGAUUCCCAGAUGGCUUAGACUGGUGGCAUCCAUCCAUUGGUGUACCCUCAGCUUGGUUUUUCUCCCCAAUUUGUUUCUUCCGCUACUGUGUAAUAUUUCUUACUGUCUGGUUUUGUUCCUUUGCAAACUGGUUUUUUCUCAUUUCUAAUUUCGAUUUCUUUCUUGUAUUUGAUAUUUAUUAUCUGAGCGCAUUCACAUGGGCCAACCAUGUAGUAUAGAAUUUUUUUAAUGUUAGUUAUUGUUUGAUAUAGUAGAAUUAUUCGUCAGCUCAGGGAGAGGGGAGAGAAGAUCAUGAAUCAUG
This 1085-nucleotide long non-coding RNA is filed under the name Monodelphis domestica (gray short-tailed opossum). RNAcentral's name for it is "lncRNA (ENSMODG00000040854.1)". The record is from RNAcentral. Lineage: Eukaryota; Metazoa; Chordata; Mammalia; Didelphimorphia; Didelphidae.